This 292-nucleotide ribosomal RNA is filed under the name uncultured bacterium. Its description in RNAcentral is "partial 16S ribosomal RNA". It matches the Rfam family "Bacterial small subunit ribosomal RNA", at positions 505 to 796 of the family's 1533-position model. The record is from RNAcentral.
GUUCCAGCAGCCGCGGUAAGACGUAGGAGGCAAGCGUUAUCCGGAGUUACUGGGCGUAAAGCGCGUGUAGGCGGGUGGAUAAGUGGUUCGUGAAAUAUCCAGGCUAAACCUGGGGAGGACGAAUCAGACUGUUCAUCUGGAGGCGGGUAGAGGGGUGCGGAAUUCCGGGUGUAGCGGUGAAAUGUGUAGAUAUCCGGAGGAACACCAGAGGUGCAGACGGCGCCCUGGGCCCGACCUGACGCUGAGACGCGAAAGCUUGGGGAGCGAACGGGAUUAGAAACCCCAGUAGUCC